GCAGGCUUAACACAUGCAAGUCGAGCGGGCAUAGCAAUAUGUCAGCGGCAGACGGGUGAGUAACGCGUGGGAACGUACCUUUUGGUUCGGAACAACUGAGGGAAACUUCAGCUAAUACCGGAUAAGCCCUUACGGGGAAAGAUUUAUCGCCGAAAGAUCGGCCCGCGUCUGAUUAGCUAGUUGGUGAGGUAAUGGCUCACCAAGGCGACGAUCAGUAGCUGGUUUGAGAGGAUGAUCAGCCACAUUGGGACUGAGACACGGCCCAAAC
RNAcentral lists this ribosomal RNA (268 nucleotides) under Bradyrhizobium sp. ARBH1. Its description in RNAcentral is "partial 16S ribosomal RNA". It matches the Rfam family "Bacterial small subunit ribosomal RNA", at positions 42 to 336 of the family's 1533-position model. The record is from RNAcentral. RNAcentral also lists the same sequence under 4 other names. Lineage: Bacteria; Pseudomonadati; Pseudomonadota; Alphaproteobacteria; Hyphomicrobiales; Nitrobacteraceae.